GACGAACGCUGGCGGCGUGCCUAAUACAUGCAAGUCGAGCGGACUUAAAAGGAGCUUGCUCCUUUUAAGUUAGCGGCGGACGGGUGAGUAACACGUGGGCAACCUGCCCUAUAGUUUGGGAUAACUCCGGGAAACCGGGGCUAAUACCGAAUAAUACAUUUUAACUCCUGUUAGAAUGUUGAAAGAUGGUUUACGCUAUCGCUAUAGGAUGGGCCCGCGGCGCAUUAGCUAGUAGGUGAGGUAACGGCUCACCUAGGCGACGAUGCGUAGCCGACCUGGGAGGGUGAUCGGCCCCACUGGGACUGAGACACGGCCCAGACUCCUACGGGAGGCAGCAGUAGGGAAUCUUCCACAAUGGACGAAAGUCUGAUGGAGCAACGCCGCGUGAGUGAAGAAGGUUUUCGGAUCGUAAAACUCUGUUGUAAGGGAAGAACAAGUGCAGUAGUAACUGGCUGCACCUUGACGGUACCUUAUUAGAAAGCCACGGCUAACUACGUGCCAGCAGCCGCCGUAA
Molecule: ribosomal RNA, 514 nt
Filed under: uncultured bacterium
Lineage: Bacteria
Description: partial 16S ribosomal RNA
Rfam family: Bacterial small subunit ribosomal RNA
Source: RNAcentral